RNAcentral lists this small nucleolar RNA (190 nucleotides) under Pichia membranifaciens NRRL Y-2026. Its description in RNAcentral is "Small nucleolar RNA snR43". It matches the Rfam family "Small nucleolar RNA snR43". Lineage: Eukaryota; Fungi; Ascomycota; Pichiomycetes; Pichiales; Pichiaceae. The record is from Rfam by way of RNAcentral.
AACUCCUGUUUCUGCCCCGUGUUCUGCGUACGCGAUAGAACACGCUGGUUCUGAUGAUGGAGGAGAGCAGGCCCGCUGGCGGCCGCCGCCGACUUGAUACUUCAGCGGACGGCGGCCGGCGGGAUCGUUCCGGGGCAAGCACCCAUCUGUCGGCCGCGUGCGGCAGACGAUGCUAGUCCCGGAUACAUCU